GCUUGCUGGUAAGAGAAAGUGGCGCACGGGUGCGUAACGCGUAUGCAACCUACCUUCAUCAGGGGGAUAGCCCGGAGAAAUCCGGAUUAAUACCGCAUAAAAUCACAGGAUGGCAUUAUCCAAUGAUCAAACAUUUAUGGGAUGGAGAUGGGCAUGCGUGUCAUUAGCUGGUUGGCGGGGUAACGGCCCACCAAGGCGACGAUGACUAGGGGAUCUGAGAGGAUGGCCCCCCACACUGGUACUGAGACACGGACCAGACUCCUACGGGAGGCAGCAGUAAGGAAUAUUGGUCAAUGGGGGCAACCCUGAACCAGCCAUGCCGCGUGCAGGAAGACUGCCCUAUGGGUUGUAAACUGCUUUUAUCCGGGAAUAAACCUGCUUACGUGUAAGUAGCUGAAUGUACCGGAAGAAUAAGGAUCGGCUAACUCCGUGCCAGCAGCCGCGGUAAUACGGAGGAUCCAAGCGUUAUCCGGAUUUAUUGGGUUUAAAGGGUGCGUAGGCGGCCUGUUAAGUCAGGGGUGAAAGACGGUAGCUCAACUAUCGCAGUGCCCUUGAUACUGAUGGGCUUGAAUGGACUAGAGGUAGGCGGAAUGAGACAAGUAGCGGUGAAAUGCAUAGAUAUGUCUCAGAACACCGAUUGCGAAGGCAGCUUACUAUGGUCUUAUUGACGCUGAGGCACGAAAGCGUGGGGAUCAAACAGGAUUAGAUACCCUGGUAGUCCACGCCCUAAACGAUGAACACUCGCUGUUGGCGAUACACAGUCAGCGGCUAAGCGAAAGCGUUAAGUGUUCCACCUGGGGAGUACGCCCCGCAAGGGUGAAACUCAAAGGAAUUGAC
This 837-nucleotide ribosomal RNA is filed under the name Pedobacter terrae. Its description in RNAcentral is "bacterial SSU rRNA". It matches the Rfam family "Bacterial small subunit ribosomal RNA", at positions 78 to 914 of the family's 1533-position model. Lineage: Bacteria; Pseudomonadati; Bacteroidota; Sphingobacteriia; Sphingobacteriales; Sphingobacteriaceae. The record is from RNAcentral.